UGUGAUUUAUCCUCAUGGGCUGGCUGCCUAAUUGGAAUCGAAGCUUUUCACACAAUCUUUAUGAAGUAAGUCUUCAUAAGAUGUGCCGAUGUGGUGCUAUAUAUAUAUGUUUUGGAUUUUGGCAAAGAUGGAAAAUUUAUAAUGACAGCCCAAUUUAUUUUAAGUAGAGUGGAAAAUUUAUUGUUAUUAUACAUACCCAAACUAAUACGUAAUUAUUUUGGUAGGACCCACCCAAUUAGGAUUCAGAAUUUUGAAUUUUGAAACCAGUUGGAUCAUUAUCCGAACCUAUCCAUUUUCAUGUUUAAUACUGCGGUGAGGUGCAACCAUGCUGGAGCUCCGGUCCACUAUUGUUCAGUUGAUUUGUCAAUUUAUUUAUUUAGAUUCAAUCAUAAAAGUCACAUUUUUAUUAAAUGGGUCUUGGUUUGACCAAUUCACCAAAACGACUCAUUGUAGGGUCAGUGC
This 462-nucleotide long non-coding RNA is filed under the name Zostera marina. RNAcentral describes it as "long non-coding RNA (ZMAR_LNC005850)". The record is from RNAcentral. Lineage: Eukaryota; Viridiplantae; Streptophyta; Magnoliopsida; Alismatales; Zosteraceae.